Molecule: non-coding RNA, 77 nt
Organism: Ixodes scapularis (black-legged tick)
Lineage: Eukaryota; Metazoa; Arthropoda; Arachnida; Ixodida; Ixodidae
Source: Rfam
GGUGGAGUGGUGGAGUGGUUAGCACACUCGACCGGACAUUGGGAGGGAGGCCCAGAGUUCAAAUCCUGGCUCCACCG